CAGCAGCCGCGGGAAUACGAAGGGGGCUAGCGUUGUUCGGAUUUACUGGGCGUAAAGGGCGCGUAGGCGGACUGAUAAGUCAGGGGUGAAAUCCCAAGGCUCAACCUUGGAACUGCCUUUGAUACUGUUUGUCUUGAGUUCGAGAGAGGUAAGUGGAACUGCGAGUGUAGAGGUGAAAUUCGUAGAUAUUCGCAAGAACACCAGUGGCGAAGGCGGCUUACUGGCUCGAAACUGACGCUGAGGCGCGAAAGCGUGGGGAGCAAACAGGAUUAGAUACCCCAGUAGUCCCUGUCUCUUAUAC
This 301-nucleotide ribosomal RNA is filed under the name uncultured bacterium. RNAcentral's name for it is "partial 16S ribosomal RNA". It matches the Rfam family "Bacterial small subunit ribosomal RNA", at positions 509 to 807 of the family's 1533-position model. The record is from RNAcentral.